AACGAACGCUGGCGGCAUGCCUAACACAUGCAAGUCGAACGAGAUCUUCGGGUCUAGUGGCGCACGGGUGCGUAACGCGUGGGAAUCUGCCCUUUGGUUCGGAAUAACAGUUGGAAACGACUGCUAAUACCGGAUGAUGACGAAAGUCCAAAGAUUUAUCGCCAGAGGAUGAGCCCGCGUAGGGUUAGCUAGUUGGUGAGGUAAAGGCGCACCAAGGCGACGAUCCUUAGCUGGUCUGAGAGGAUGAUCAGCCACACUGGGACUGAGACACGGCCCAGACUCCUACGGGAGGCAGCAGUGGGGAAUAUUGGACAAUGGGCGAAAGCCUGAUCCAGCAAUGCCGCGUGAGUGAUGAAGGCCUUAGGGUUGUAAAGCUCUUUUACCCGGGAUGAUAAUGACAGUACCGGGAGAAUAAGCUCCGGCUAACUCCGUGCCAGCCGCCGCGGUAA
This 449-nucleotide ribosomal RNA is filed under the name uncultured bacterium. RNAcentral's name for it is "partial 16S ribosomal RNA". It matches the Rfam family "Bacterial small subunit ribosomal RNA", at positions 29 to 523 of the family's 1533-position model. The record is from RNAcentral.